ACUGGUUGAUCCUGCCAGUAGUCAUAUGCUUGUCUUAAAGAUUAAGCCAUGCAGGUGUAAGAUCAUAUCUAUGAAUGGUGAAUCCGCGAAUGGCUCAUUAAAUCAGUUAUAAUUUAAUAGGAUGUGAUUCGUUAAUUGGAUAACUGUGGUAAUUCUAGAGCUAAUACAUGCAUAUACGGCUGAACUUUGUUUGGCUGUGCUUUUAUUAGUGCAAACCAGGCCUUCGGGCUGCAAAAUGGUGACUCUGAAUAACUUUGCUGAGCAUUUGGACCUUGUGUCAGUGCUAUUCCUUUAAAGUAUCUGCUCUAUCAACUGUCGAUGGUAUAUUAUAUGUUUACCAUGGUUGUAACGGGUAACGGGGAAUUAGGGUUCGAUUCCGGAGAGGGAGCCUGAGAAACGGCUACCACAUCUAAGGAAGGCAGCAGGCGCGCAAAUUACCCAAUCCCGGCUCGGGGAGGUAGUGACAAAAAAUAACAAUGCGGGACUCUUAUGAGGCUUCGUAAUUGGAAUGAGUACAUUCUAAAUCCUUUAACGAGGAACUAUUGGAGGGCAAGUCUGGUGCCAGCAGCCGCGGUAAUUCCAGCUCCAAUAGCGUAUAUUAAAGUUGUUGCGUCUAAAAAGCUCGUAGUUUGAAAACUUGCCUUGGCUUACAACAGACGUCUAAGGGCGUCACCGUUUGUCGAGAGCAAAUAUGGGUGACUGUUCUUGCCUUCUUCACUGAUUGGCUCGUAAAAGUCAUCGAAGAUCACUUUGAUUAAAUUGGGUGCUCAAAGCAAGUGUGCUACUUGAAUAUGAAUGCAUGGAAUGAUGGAAUAUGUUGUUGUUCUAUUUGUUGGUUUUUUGAAUGACGAAAUGAUUGAAAGGAACUGUUGGGGGCAUUCGUAUUGUUGUGAGAGAGGUGAAAUUCUUAGACCAUAGCAAGACGAACUACUGCGAAAGCAUUUGCCAAGAAUGUUUUCAUUGAUCAAGAACGAAAGUUAGAGGUUCGAAGGCGAUCAGAUACCGCCCUAGUUCUAACCAUAAACUAUGCCGACUAGCAAUUUGCUUUGUAUUUUUAUGACUAAGUGAGAGGCCACGGGAAACCAAAGUAGGGUUAUGGGGGAAGUAUGGUUGCAAAGCUGAAACUUAAAGGAAUUGACGGAAGGGCACCACCAGGAGUGGAGCCUGCGGCUUAAUUUGACCCAACACGGGAAAACUUACCUGGUCCUGACACUAGAAGGAUGACAGAUUGAUAGCUCUUUCUUGAUUUGGUGGAUGGUGGUGCAUGGCCGUUCUUAGUUGGUGGAGUGAUUUGUCUGGUUAAUUCCGAUAACGAACGAGACUCUAGCCUAUUAAAUAAUAU
RNAcentral lists this ribosomal RNA (1342 nucleotides) under metagenome. RNAcentral describes it as "SSU rRNA". It matches the Rfam family "Eukaryotic small subunit ribosomal RNA", at positions 1 to 1361 of the family's 1831-position model. The record is from RNAcentral.